Molecule: ribosomal RNA, 1970 nt
Filed under: human gut metagenome
Description: bacterial LSU rRNA
Rfam family: Bacterial large subunit ribosomal RNA
Source: RNAcentral
GAAAGUAAUGAAGGGCGUACGGUGGAUGCCUAGGCUCUUACAGGCGAUGAAGGACGUGAUAAGCUGCGAAAAGCCGCGGUGAGGCGCAAAUGGCCCUUGACCCGCGGAUCUCCGAAUGGGACAACCCAAUAUCUUGAAGAGAUAUUAUCCCGCCGAUGCGGGAGGCGAACGCGGGGAACUGAAACAUCUUAGUACCCGCAGGAAAAGAAAAUAAAGAAUGAUUCCCCCAGUAGUGGCGAGCGACCGGGGAACAGCCCAAACCGACGUUGUCUCGGCAUCGUCGGGGUUGUAGGACCGCGCCAUCGCAAGAAAGGCCGUGAGUGGAAGCGACUGGAAAGCCGCGCCAUAGAGGGUGACAGCCCCUUACACGAAGCAGCCAGAAGCGUAGCGGACUCCUGAGUAGCGCGGGACACGAGUAAUCCUGUGUGAAUCCGCCGGGCCCAUCCGGCAAGGCUAAAUACUCGUAAGAGACCGAUAGUGAACCAGUACCGUGAGGGAAAGGUGAAAAGUACCCCUUGCAGGGGAGUGAAAGAGUUCCUGAAACCGUACGCCUACAAGCGGUCGGAGCAUCUUGAAUGAUGUGACGGCGUGCCUUUUGCAUAAUGAACCUACGAGUUGCCGUCACCAGCGAGGUUAAGUGCGACGACGCACCGAGCCGCAGCGGAAGCGAGUCUUAAAAGGGCGCAAUAGUUGGUGGAGGCAGACGCGAAACCGAGUGAUCUACACUUGUCCAGGAUGAAGUCCCGGUAACACGGGAUGGAGGUCCGCACCAAUAAGCGUUGAAAAGCUUCUGGAUGAGGUGAGUGUAGGAGUGAAAGGCCAAUCAAACUCGGAGAUAGCUCGUACUCCCCGAAAGGCAUUUAGGUGCCGCCUGUGGCGUUCCCGACGUGAGGUAGAGCGACUGAUAGGAUGCGAGGGCUUCACCGCCUAUCAAGUCCUGACAAACUCCGAAUGCACGUCGGCCAAGCCAUGGAGUAAGGGCAUGGGUGCUAAGGUCCGUGCCCGAGAGGAGAAGAAUCCAGACCACCGGCUAAGGUCCCGAAAUACUGGUUAAGUUAGACUAACGCAGUCCGGCCCCCAAGACAGCUAGGAUGUUGGCUUGGAAGCAGCCAUUCAUUCAAAGAGUGCGUAACAGCUCACUAGUCGAGGAGCUGGGCGUGGAUAAUAAUCGGGUAUGAAACCAGUUACCGAAGCCGUGGGAUGCUUAAGCAUCGGUAGGGGAGCAUUGCAUGCGGCUUAGAAGGCGGGGCGCGAGCCCCUCUGGAGCGCAUGGAAACGCAAAUGUAGGUAUAAGUAACGACAAGGGGGGUGGGAUGCCCCCCCGCCGAAAGACCAAGGUUUCCUGAACAACGCUAAUCGGUUCAGGGUCAGUCGGGUCCUAAGCAUAAGCCGUAUGGCGAGGGCGAUGGACGAAACGGUUAAUAUUCCGUUACUGUCUUGGUGUGUGACGCGGCGACGGAGUAGUGACACGGCCGCCUCCUGACGGAAAAGGGGGUUGAAGCGCAAAGGUGUCGAGGAAGGCAGGCAAAUCCACCUUCCGAGCCGAAGCGCGAAAGUACGCCGGGCCCUUUGGGGCAAGGCGAUAGUGCCGGUAAUCAGACUUCCAAGAAAACCCGCUAAACUUCAGCACCAAGUCACCCGUACUCCAAACGGACACACGUGGUCGGGUAGAAUAUACUAAGGCGCUUGGGAGAUUCACGGUUAAGGAACUAGGCAAAUUGACCCCGUACCUUCGGAAUAAGGGGUCCUCGCUUUUGCGAGGCGCAGAGAAUAGGUCCAGGCAACUGUUUAACAAAAACACAGGGCUGUGCAAAUUUGAAAGAAGAAGUAUACAGCCUGACACCUGCCCGGUGCCGGAAGGUUAAGAGGAGAGCUCAUCAGCGAUGAGAAGGCUUGAAUUGAAGCCCCGGUAAACGGCGGCCGUAACUAUAACGGUCCUAAGGUAGCGAAAUUCCUUGUCGGGUAAGUUC